GAUGAACGCUGGCGGCGUGCUUAACACAUGCAAGUCGAGCGAUGAAGUUUCCUUCGGGAAACGGAUUAGCGGCGGACGGGUGAGUAACACGUGGGUAACCUGCCUCAUAGAGUGGAAUAGCCUUCCGAAAGGAAGAUUAAUACCGCAUAAUGUUGAAAGAUGGCAUCAUCAUUUAACCAAAGGAGCAAUCUGCUAUGAGAUGGACCCGCGGCGCAUUAGCUAGUUGGUGGGGUAACGGCCUACCAAGGCGACGAUGCGUAGCCGACCUGAGAGGGUGAUCGGCCACAUUGGGACUGAGACACGGCCCAGACUCCUACGGGAGGCAGCAGUGGGGAAUAUUGCACAAUGGGGGAAACCCUGAUGCAGCAACGCCGCGUGAGUGAUGAAGGUUUUCGGAUCGUAAAGCUCUGUCUUUGGGGAAGAUAAUGACGGUACCCAAGGAGGAAGCCACGGCUAACUACGUGCCAGCCGCCGCCGUAA
Molecule: ribosomal RNA, 480 nt
Filed under: uncultured bacterium
Lineage: Bacteria
Description: partial 16S ribosomal RNA
Rfam family: Bacterial small subunit ribosomal RNA
Source: RNAcentral